RNAcentral lists this ribosomal RNA (493 nucleotides) under uncultured bacterium. RNAcentral describes it as "bacterial SSU rRNA". It matches the Rfam family "Bacterial small subunit ribosomal RNA", at positions 28 to 524 of the family's 1533-position model. The record is from RNAcentral.
GAUGAACGCUAGCGGAAGGCUUAAUACAUGCAAGUCGAGCGGUAGGUGGCUUCGGCCAUUGAGAGCGGCGCACGGGUGAGUAACGCGUACAUGACCUGCCUGUCAGAAGGGGAUAGCCCUGGGAAACUGGGAUUAAUACCCUAUGGUAUUGAUAUUAUGAAUGAUAUCAAUUAAAGUUGAGGCGCUGACGGAUGGAUGUGCGUCUGAUUAGCUAGUUGGUAGGGUAACGGCCUACCAAGGCGACGAUCAGUAGGGGGCGUGAGAGCGUGGUCCCCCACACGGGUACUGAGACACGGACCCGACUCCUACGGGAGGCAGCAGUAAGGAAUAUUGGACAAUGGCCGCAAGGCUGAUCCAGCCAUGCCGCGUGCAGGAAGAAGGCCCUAUGGGUCGUAAACUGCUUUUGAACAAGAGAAAACCCCUCUACGUGUAGAGGGCUGAUAGUAUUGUUAGAAUAAGCAUCGGCUAACUUCGUGCCAGCAGCCGCGGUAAU